GACGAACGCUGGCGGCGUGCCUAAUACAUGCAAGUAGAACGCACAGUUUAUACCGUAGCUUGCUACACCAUAGACUGUGAGUUGCGAACGGGUGAGUAACGCGUAUGUAACCUGCCUGGUAGCGGGGGAUAACUAUUGGAAACGAUAGCUAAUACCGCAUAAUAUUGAUUAUUGCAUGAUAAUUAAUUGAAAGGUGCAAUUGCACCACUACCAGAUGGACCUGCGUUGUAUUAGCUAGUAGGUGAGGUAACGGCUCACCUAGGCGAAGAUACAUAGCCGACCUGAGAGGGAGAUCGGCCCCACUGGGACUGAGACACGGCCCAGAACUCUAAGGGAGGCAGCAGGAGGGAAUCUUCGGCAAUGGACGAAAGUCUGAACGAGCAACGACGCGGGAGGGAAGAAGGUUUUCGGAUCGUAAAGCUCUGUUGUAAGAGAAGAAAGGGUGUGAGAGUGGAAAGUUCACACUGUGACGGUAUCUUAACAGAAAGGGACGGCUAACUACGUG
Molecule: ribosomal RNA, 505 nt
Filed under: uncultured bacterium
Lineage: Bacteria
Description: partial 16S ribosomal RNA
Rfam family: Bacterial small subunit ribosomal RNA
Source: RNAcentral